GAUAAUAAAUACGGUUUAAGGCACGAAUUAACUUAAUUUGGCUACUAGAAUGCCUAGGGACGCUUAUCGGACGUUACAGUGCGCGUAUGGUGAGUUUCGGGAAAACUGCGUAACGAUAAACGGUAACAAGCUGAUACCGUACAAAAUACUGACAACGCCGACAAGUACGAAUUUUAUGCGAGUAUUUUAUACUUAUAAAUCUAGUUUUCAAAUUUUUCGUACUUUCAAAACAUCACAAACGCAUGACGAUCGAAAAACGCGACGUUGACCGUGAUUGACGAACGAACGCGCAAACGCGAUUACCGACACUAAUUUACGUCUUUCGAUUUUAUAACAAUAAUUUACGACAAGGUUUAGAGAAACGGGUUCGUAUAAGUUGACGGGCCACUAAACACGGGGAUUGGGCUUGUGGGCCUUGGGCCCAAGCCCAAAGCCCACUUGACAAACCCUAUGUAUAAAUAGCAUUGCAAAGUGACAAACUCUCAUUUCUUCUUUCAAGUUUCAGCCGACACAUUCAUUGGCUCUCACCUCCUUCACUACUUCAAACCCUAAUUUCCCUUUUUCCUUCAAAACACAACUACAGACAUUUCAUAACCCUCCUUCUCCCUCUCGUUCCAUGAUCGGCUGACAACAACCCAACCCCUCCCCCUCGUUUUCAAACCGGCAGACCACGAGGUGGUCCUGAUGACCGGCGACCGAAUGAAGGAGGCGCUGCCACUCACGUCAACGGCGGUAGUCGUGCCGUGUGAUGGAUUCGAGCAAGAUCAGAGAGAGAGUAGAGAAUCUAGAGAGAGGCAGGCAAGCGGCAAGGGUCUCCAGCAGCGGCGUGGUGGUUACCGCCUGUUUUUCCGGCGACGUGCGACGGUGAGGGCUCCACCAGUCACAAUCACACCGGUAACAUCCCCAACCCAUCCUUUCUUCUCUUUUCUUUAAGAUCUGUGAAGGUCUAUCUUUCUCUGGCACGUUUGGCUCUCGUUUCAGGUGGUAAUGGUGGUGGUCGAUGGACCGAGCUGAUGUCGGACAUGGCUGCAGCACGAGAGGGAGGGGGGUGUUGACGGAAACAGUGGUGUCUGGGUAUUGGUGACCGUAAUGGUGGUGGUGUUAAUUCGAGUCUCGGGUUAGAUGCGGGCUCCAGUUCAGAUUCAUGUUCGAGUUUUUGCGAGUCAAGUCUCGUGGUUCACUUUUAGUUCAAGCGGGUCAGAUGGUUCGGUUACGGGUGCGGGUUGGUUUCGGGACAUGGUUCGGGGUUUUGUUUGAUUUGGUUUUUGGUUCGGCUUGUGCGGUUCACACGGUUAGGCAGGUUCACCGUUCGGGUCAACGACUCGGGUCAACAGGCAGUCAACGGUCAACUGCCGGGUCAACAGAAAGUUAACACGCGACCCGGUUGCAUUUUCAAAACUAUGGAACGGUUGGAAUAGGAGAAACCAUGGGAAUUCAAGUACUUAGCGGCGUUCAUUUUCUAGAAGUCUUAGCUAAUUGCUUCCGUUGUGCAAUGAAGAUACCGGUCCAGUCACGCCAUGCUCUGAUAAUUUCGGGGUGUGACAUUAUUGAUCUUCACUAAAAAUUAUUAUCACGCAAUAUCACUAGAAUGACGUUCACAUUGAAGCAUUCUCUUGUCUUGACAUUUUUUUUGUUGGCAUUUCUGUUCACCACAGUUGUUCCGUCUUAUGCUCUUGCUCCAGCAUGCCUUGGAAAUUGUAACGUAUUAAAAGAGGAUUGCUUACAACUUUGUCGAAGAGUUGGUUUCUUGACCGGUGCUUGCAGACCAGGAAUUCCUCCUAUGUGUUGUUGUCAUGAUUAGUUUGUUAACUAAACGUUGGUAGUAUUCCUUACACCAUUAUGUUAGUGGUUAUAUUAUGUAAUCCUCCUUAUGAGGAAUUUUAAUUAAUACUACCAUCGUCAUAAAAUAAAUAUAUUCUUAUCGUCAAAGUUAUUCAUCAUUUCAUUUCUCUCCAA
Molecule: long non-coding RNA, 1956 nt
Organism: Helianthus annuus (common sunflower)
Lineage: Eukaryota; Viridiplantae; Streptophyta; Magnoliopsida; Asterales; Asteraceae
Exons: 3
Source: RefSeq, a predicted model, not a curated record